RNAcentral lists this long non-coding RNA (2676 nucleotides) under Populus trichocarpa (black cottonwood). RNAcentral describes it as "long non-coding RNA (PTRI_LNC001058)". Lineage: Eukaryota; Viridiplantae; Streptophyta; Magnoliopsida; Malpighiales; Salicaceae. The record is from RNAcentral.
UUCCUGCCAUUGUCUAUUCUCCGGUCUGUUCUCAUAGUCAGAUGCUUCCUCUGUUUUCUCCUGGCAUUAAAAUUACAGCUCACCGUCAAAUCUUAUUGAUGAUAUAUACCUUUGGUCAUUUUCAUGAAUGGUGCUUGGUGAUGUCUUCUAGUGUUCGCAGUAUCGUAAUUUGCUGGAGUUUUUGUAGUAUUUGAAUUGUGGGUGACUGAGCUGCAGAAUUUGUGCAAUUGAAUUGAAUCCGUGCUAUGGGUUAUCAUGUCAUAUCAUCAUUCAUCAACAAUUAAUUGAAUGGGUUUCUACAUGAAAUAUUUUUAGUUUCUUAAUCAAUAAUUUGAAGUUUUUAAUUGGAAGUCAAAUUAUUCUCAGAGAAUGAUAUAAUUAAACUAAAUCUUGGUUAAUUGAUUGCUAGCAGAAGUGUAAAUUUACAUGGCUUGAAAAUGAAGCUUAUCUUCCACUUAGUUUUAUCAAAUAAUAUAAUUUUUAAAUAAAUUAUUUAUAGAAUAAUUUUGAAUGAUAUAAAUCAAUAGAUGUCAAAACAUUCAGUUUUGUUGUACCUAGGUCCCUUUAUAUUACUAACAGCAAUAUUACGUGUCAUGUUUAUAAAUUCCAAACCUCUCAUUUGAAACUAACGCUUUGUAUGUUUUUUAUAAAAUAAAAUAAAUCCUAAACUUCUUAUGGACUAAAAUGUUUUUAUAGAAAAUAUGAGGAUUAAAAAACAUUCAUGAACAUAUAAGAAAAGCUAUUUUUUUUCUCUGUGGGCUAGGUAUGACGUAUGCAGGUAUGGAUAUGGGUCUGGGCUUAGAAUGAUAGAUAUGGGUCUAGUAGGAGCACAAUAUUUUUUUAAUGGUAAGGAAUGAGCUACGCCUACCAGGCUGGUUGCUCAGUCCAUUCACCUCUCUACUUGAGGCUUGUAUAGUUUAUUGAAAAAAAAAUAAACUUGUAUUGUUUUUUUUUUUCUAGAAUCAUUUCUUUAUAAAGCAUGAAAUUGUAACCAAAUUUGCAAUAUCUAUAUAAAAUAAAAGCAAUAAUCUUUUUUCAAAAAUUCUACCAUCUUCCUCGACCAAAAUAUUUUUUUAUGUUUCUAUACAUAUUAUAAUUAGUUACAAAUAUAAUACCCAAUUUAAUAAAAUCAUAUGAACAAAAUUCCAAGACUUUCCAUGGACAAAACCCAAUUUAAUAUAUAUAUAUAUAUAUAUAUAUAUAUAUAUAUAUAUUUAAAUUUAAUCACGUCAAUUUAUUUUCUCUUUACAUUAUAAAUAAAAAAUUCAAUAAGAGAUGAGAAAUAAAAUUAGAGGAAAAAAAUAAAAAUAAAAAAAUCUUAAAUGAAAAAAAAUUAAAGGGAAUGAAAUUAAUUAUCGGUGUAUUAGGCGCUGCUUUGCUAUGUAUUAUUUAUAGUGCCACUCUAAAAAAUACUUUAUUUGAAGAUAAUGAUGGUGCAAAUAUACGAAUUAUUUGCUAAUUUUUUUCAUAUAUGGUAUUAAAUCAAGAAAUAUUUUUAUAACUUUUUUAGAUUGACACGAGAUGAACUGAAUUCAUCCAAGUAACCUGAUACUUAACCAGGCCAGAAUGAAUAAAUAUGCUUUUCAUUUGUUCGUCUUGGUCGUUUUUUUUUAUUCUAAUAAGUAAGAGACUCAGACAGACAAGUCUUAAAUAAAAUGAGUCACUGACUCUUCGUGAUAUACAAACUCAUUUAUUAAAUCCCUUACCAAAUAACCUCUUCGUGACUCCAAAAGGCAGAUAGCUAGAUAGUUAGAAACAAAGCGAGCUCAAUCGACCAUGUCUCUCAUGGUUAGGCCUCCAAACUGAGGCUGUAACGAGCCGAGUUAAAGCCUGGAUCUACAAACACUGAAGAAAUUUCAUGGGAAAUGGGUUGAUGUCAGAGGGAGAAAUUUCUGUGCUGAUCCCAGCCAUGUUGUUGACACUGGACAGCUUGAGAGACUUCUUCAACCACCAAUCAAAUUAUUCUUAUUUACUUUCUGUGCAGCUUGGCACGGUUUUGCUGUCAAAGUUCAGAAACCCUAGCUAUUAGAAUAGUCAAGUGUUUAUCUUUAUAUUUUAAAUUAUUUUUUUAAAUUGACUCCACAAGAGAGAGAUGCCAUCCACGCAAUACAAAACUCUCGAAAAAAUAAUGAUCGUGCCACCGCCGGUGGUUGUGCUGUUCUAUCAAAUCACAAGCCACACGAGUAGCUGAUUAGAAAGAUUUUUUAUGGGACCCAGUCGUGACAGGGGCUGUUUUUGUGUUUUUUCUUUCAAUCAUGGCUAGAUAGUAGGCAUGGCAUGAUUGACGAAUGAUUGGGGAAGGGGCAAUGGGAGCCACAUGAUCCUUUUCAUGGUUGUUUCUUGCCUGUAGAAAGAAGAUCAUGCCAUCACGGAUCUUACGGGAUAGGUAUCUUGCUCGGUGUUGAUUUACAAUAAUGGCUGCACAUGAACCCGUCCAGCAGAACAAAUCCCAACAAGUAAUUUUCCUCACUGGUUCUAUAAUGUCUCUGGGUGGGUGCAUCUGUGCAAGUGCCUUGUAAAAUUGCCUUAUUCAGUAGUAUUUGUAAUUUUGUGUAGAGCUGGUAUCAUUCUUUGAAAUCAUAGUUAUUACGUCAUUGAGUUAACUCGUGUGUUAAUUAUAGGAUCAAUCAUUUUACUUUGUUUUUUUUCUUUAAAAAGAACAAAAUUUCUUGUAUU